This 640-nucleotide ribosomal RNA is filed under the name Nonomuraea sp. YIM 65584. RNAcentral describes it as "bacterial SSU rRNA". It matches the Rfam family "Bacterial small subunit ribosomal RNA", at positions 57 to 719 of the family's 1533-position model. Lineage: Bacteria; Bacillati; Actinomycetota; Actinomycetes; Streptosporangiales; Streptosporangiaceae. The record is from RNAcentral.
GCAGUCGAGCGGAAAGGCCCUUCGGGGUACUCGAGCGGCGAACGGGUGAGUAACACGUGAGCAACCUGCCCCUGACUCUGGGAUAAGCCCGGGAAACUGGGUCUAAUACCGGAUAUGACCGCCCCUGGCAUCGGGUGGUGGUGGAAAGUUUUUCGGUUGGGGAUGGGCUCGCGGCCUAUCAGCUUGUUGGUGGGGUAGUGGCCUACCAAGGCGACGACGGGUAGCCGGCCUGAGAGGGCGACCGGCCACACUGGGACUGAGACACGGCCCAGACUCCUACGGGAGGCAGCAGUGGGGAAUAUUGCGCAAUGGGCGGAAGCCUGACGCAGCGACGCCGCGUGGGGGAUGACGGCCUUCGGGUUGUAAACCUCUUUCAGCAGGGACGAAGUUGACGUGUACCUGCAGAAGAAGCGCCGGCUAACUACGUGCCAGCAGCCGCGGUAAUACGUAGGGCGCAAGCGUUGUCCGGAAUUAUUGGGCGUAAAGAGCUCGUAGGUGGCUUGUCGCGUCGGAUGUGAAAGCCCGCAGCUUAACUGCGGGUCUGCAUUUGAUACGGGCAGGCUAGAGGUAGGUAGGGGAGAACGGAAUUCCUGGUGUAGCGGUGAAAUGCGCAGAUAUCAGGAGGAACACCGGUGGCGAA